GAAUGAAAAUCUCUCUGUGAGUUAUUAUUUUUAAUUUUCCAAACACCUGAACAAGCAGGUCUUUUAUGUAUUUGUAGCUCAUGUUGUAGCAUUUAUCCCGAGAUUACAAGACACAGAGCUGAGCACUGCUUUUUCGAACUGACAUUAACACUUGUUAAACUGGUUUUCUGGAAAGCCAACGUCAGAACAAGUAUUGCAGUCAAAAGUCAAAUCUGCAAAAUGUAUGUUAUCACUGUUUAAAUAUAAAGAGAGACAUUACCAGUGGUAGAUAUUUAACAAACCUCACACUUACAAAUCAUACUAUAUUCUAAGUCUAUAUAGCGUGUUUCUAAAUGGCAUUGUGUUUUAAAAAAUGAAAUUGGUCAGUUUUGUAUUACAAGAUGCUCAUGCUGUGGAGCCUCAUUAGUAGCCUCAUUGUACUAAUAUAGGGACAGCUUGCUGUGGAUUUCUCCAUUAUGCUAAUGGCAUCAAAGUGAAGCUUAGCCCCUACUUCUGCUAUGAAAACAAUGACAGAAAAAGGGCCCAGGCUGUAAUUAAGACAUCCUCUGCUUCCCAAAAUGAGGUUGAGCAGGAAAGGAAAGACAUAGUUCAUAACUCUGCCUCUAUGACACCAACAAGCAGAGCUUAAUAUUCCAGAAGGCAUCUUGAUGUAGUCAGCAAGUACCAGCUGUGUCUCUAUGGUCUCUGCAUGAGCAAACAAUUAAAGGACAGAGCCACACCUGGAUUUCUGCCUGCAAAUAGGGACCUUCAAGAAGAGUAGUAUUUUUGACUGCAAAGAAGCAUGCCAAGACAUUUCUCUAAAAGCCAACGUUACUUAAUGCUUCCAGUCUUCAGUGUACUGGCCAUAUACUGCAGGAUAAGAGAGCAUGAGAGAGGGACUUGAGAUCAUCUUUCCAAGAGUGGACAUUGCAAGGGGAAAUUACAGCUUCAUUAAAUGAAUGGAAGUUAACCAGUGAGUUUUGUCCUUUCAGAAGUGCAAUUAAAUUUUGAAGUAAA
This is a non-coding RNA of Meleagris gallopavo (turkey), 996 nucleotides long. Lineage: Eukaryota; Metazoa; Chordata; Aves; Galliformes; Phasianidae. The record is from RefSeq and is a predicted model, not a curated record.